Molecule: ribosomal RNA, 426 nt
Filed under: uncultured bacterium
Lineage: Bacteria
Description: bacterial SSU rRNA
Rfam family: Bacterial small subunit ribosomal RNA
Source: RNAcentral
GAGGAAUAUUGGGCAAUGGGCGGAAGCCUGACCCAGCCACGCCGCGUGAGUGAUGAAGGCCUUCGGGUUGUAAAGCUCUGUGGGGAGGGAAGAAAAACUCGGGUUCGAAUAGGGCCUGAGGUUGACGGUACCUCCUUAGCAAGCACCGGCUAACUCUGUGCCAGCAGCCGCGGUAAGACAGAGGGUGCAAACGUUGCUCGGAAUUACUGGGCGUAAAGGGCGCGUAGGCGGACUUGGAAGUCGGGUGUGAAAUCCCUGGGCUCAACCUAGGAACUGCACUCGAAACUCCGAGUCUAGAGUGACGGAGAGGAAAGCGGAAUUCCCGGUGUAGAGGUGAAAUUCGUAGAUAUCGGGAGGAACACCAGAGGCGAAGGCGGCUUUCUGGACGUCCACUGACGCUGAGGCGCGAAAGCGUGGGGAGCAAAC